CCCUUAGAUGUCCGGGGCCGCACGCGCGCUACACUGAAGGAAUCAGCGUGGCUUUCUCCCUGACCCGAAAGGGUUGGGAAACCCGUUGAAUCUCCUUCGUGAUAGGGAUUGGGGCUUGAAAUUGUUCCCCAUGAACGAGGAAUUCCCAGUAAGCGCGAGUCAUAAGCUCGCGUUGAUUACGUCCCUGCCCUUUGUACACACCGCCCGUCGCUACUACCGAUGAGUCGUCCGGUGAAGUUCGUAGACCUCGUGAUCGCGGAUCACUGGGGGAAGCAAAAUGAACCUCGCGGUUUAGAGGAAGGAGAAGUCGUAACA
Molecule: ribosomal RNA, 315 nt
Filed under: uncultured eukaryote
Lineage: Eukaryota
Description: partial 18S ribosomal RNA
Rfam family: Eukaryotic small subunit ribosomal RNA
Source: RNAcentral